This 261-nucleotide ribosomal RNA is filed under the name uncultured Dialister sp. Its description in RNAcentral is "partial 16S ribosomal RNA". It matches the Rfam family "Bacterial small subunit ribosomal RNA", at positions 112 to 355 of the family's 1533-position model. Lineage: Bacteria; Bacillati; Bacillota; Negativicutes; Veillonellales; Veillonellaceae. The record is from RNAcentral.
AACACGUAAACAACCUGCCUUCAAGAUGGGGACAACAGACGGAAACGACUGCUAAUACCGAAUACGAUCCGAAAGUCGCAUGACAUUUGGAUGAAAAGGGUGGCCUAUCGAAGAAGCUAUCGCUUGAAGAGGGGUUUGCGUCCGAUUAGGUAGUUGGUGAGGUAACGGCCCACCAAGCCGACGAUCGGUAGCCGGUCUGAGAGGAUGAACGGCCACACUGGAACUGAGACACGGUCCAGACUCCUACGGGAGGCAGCAGUC